This 301-nucleotide ribosomal RNA is filed under the name uncultured bacterium. RNAcentral describes it as "partial 16S ribosomal RNA". It matches the Rfam family "Bacterial small subunit ribosomal RNA", at positions 509 to 807 of the family's 1533-position model. The record is from RNAcentral.
CAGUCGCCACGGUAAAACGGAGGGUGCAAGCGUUAAUCGGAAUUACUGGGCGUAAAGCGCACGCAGGCGGUCUGACAAGUCAGAUGUGAAAUCCCCGGGCUUAACCUGGGAACUGCAUUUGAAACUGUCAGGCUGGAGUCUUGUAGAGGGGGGUGGAAUUCCAGGUGUAGCGGUGAAAUGCGUAGAGAUCUGGAGGAAUACCGGUGGCGAAGGCGGCCCCCUGGACAAAGACUGACGCUCAGGUGCGAAAGCGUGGGGAGCAAACAGGAUUAGAUACCCCGGUAGUCCCUGUCUCUUAUAC